AUGCUUACUCCAGUUGCACAUAUACUAAAAUUGGAAUAAUACAGAGAAGAUUAGCAUGGCCCUUGUGCAAGGAUGACACGCAAAUUCGUGGAGUGUUCUAUAUAUUU
Molecule: small nuclear RNA, 107 nt
Organism: Myotis myotis
Lineage: Eukaryota; Metazoa; Chordata; Mammalia; Chiroptera; Vespertilionidae
Source: RefSeq, a predicted model, not a curated record